RNAcentral lists this ribosomal RNA (496 nucleotides) under uncultured bacterium. RNAcentral's name for it is "partial 16S ribosomal RNA". It matches the Rfam family "Bacterial small subunit ribosomal RNA", at positions 29 to 507 of the family's 1533-position model. The record is from RNAcentral.
AUGAACGCUGGCGGCGUGCCUAAUACAUGCACGUCGAGCGAACAGACGAGGAGCUAGCUCCUCUGACGUUAGCGGCGGACGGGUGAGUAACACGUGGAUAACCUACCUAUAAGACUGGGAUAACUUCGGGAAACCGGAGCUAAUACCGGAUAAUAUAUUGAACCGCAUGGUUCAAUAGUGAAAGACGGUUUUGCUGUCACUUAUAGAUGGAUCCGCGCCGCAUUAGCUAGUUGGUAAGGUAACGGCUUACCAAGGCGACGAUGCGUAGCCGACCUGAGAGGGUGAUCGGCCACACUGGAACUGAGACACGGUCCAGACUCCUACGGGAGGCAGCAGUAGGGAAUCUUCCGCAAUGGGCGAAAGCCUGACGGAGCAACGCCGCGUGAGUGAUGAAGGUCUUCGGAUCGUAAAACUCUGUUAUUAGGGAAGAACAAAUGUGUAAGUAACUAUGCACGUCUUGACGGUACCUAAUCAGAAAGCCACGGCUAACUACGUG